RNAcentral lists this transfer RNA (68 nucleotides) under Olinga feredayi. Its description in RNAcentral is "tRNA-Pro". Lineage: Eukaryota; Metazoa; Arthropoda; Insecta; Trichoptera; Conoesucidae. The record is from RNAcentral.
UCAAAGAAUAGUUUAAUAAAAAUAAUAAUUUUGGAGAUUAAAGAUAAUUAAUUAUGAUUUUCUUUGAA